UAGCUUCCCCGCCACUCCUCUAAAAUCCCUCCUCAAAAACCCCAAGUUAAAAAAAAAAAGAUCUAUUCUUGUAGAUUUUUUUGUGUGGGUCUAUGUUUCAUUCAUCUGCUUUUAGGCUGGAUUUAUAACAAGCAGAUCUUUUAAAAUGCUUCAGGAAAAAGAGGACCUUAGAACUGAAGGAGCAAGGAUCCAGCAUCACACUGUUUUUGUUAGCUGUGUGUGUGUGUUUCCUGUGUAUCCAAAAGACAGAGGAGAUGAAAAAGCAAAAGAGAAGAAACGAGGAAUCAGAUUGGAAAGAGAAGAUUUCUCCAGGACAUCACCUGUAUGAGGUACACAGUGUGAUGACACAUUCUAUGCUUUUCCUACUUGUCUCCACGUGAGUGUCUGGAGCUGCCCUUCAAGGAAAGCAAUAGAUGAAUGAUUCUGCCUUCCUGCUGAGAGGGAUGUGGGUCCUGCGGAUGGUCGGGGUGAAGCUUCCUCUCCUUUCUGCUGACAGCACUUCCUCAUUAAAUGCAGAGAUCUGCAAAAAGGGAAAAUAAAAACACAAGAAGAAA
This 554-nucleotide long non-coding RNA is filed under the name Pongo abelii (Sumatran orangutan). Its description in RNAcentral is "lincRNA". Lineage: Eukaryota; Metazoa; Chordata; Mammalia; Primates; Hominidae. The record is from RNAcentral.